GAAUUCGCCCUUAGAGUUUGAUCCUGGCUCAGAACGAACGCUGGCGGCGUGCUUAACACAUGCAAGUCGUACGAGAAACCGGAACUUCGGUUCCGGGAGUAAAGUGGCGCACGGGUGAGUAACGCGUAGGUAAUCUACCCUUGGGUUUGGAAUAACUCGCCGAAAGGCGUGCUAAUACCGGAUAAAAUCUUUCGGAGGGAUCUGGAAGAUCAAAGGUGGCCUCUCCAUGGAUGCUACUGCCUGAGGAUGAGCCUGCGUCCCAUUAGCUUGUUGGUAGGGUAAUGGCCUACCAAGGCUACGAUGGGUAGCUGGUCUGAGAGGAUGAUCAGUCACACUGGAACUGGAACACGGUCCAGACUCCUACGGGAGGCAGCAGUGAGGAAUAUUGCGCAAUGGGGGAAACCCUGACGCAGCGACGCCGCGUGGGCGAAGAAGGCCUUCGGGUCGUAAAGCCCUGUCUAGAGGGAAGAAAUUCUCAAUGGAAUAAUACCCAUUGAGAUUGACGGUACCUCUGGAGGAAGCACCGGCUAACUCCGUGCCAGCAGCCGCGGUAAUACGGAGGGUGCUAGCGUUGUUCGGAAUUACUGGGCGUAAAGCGGGUGUAGGCGGUUUGUUAAGUCAGAUGUGAAAGCCCACGGCUCAACCGUGGAAGUGCAUCUGAAACUGGCAGACUUGAGUACCGGAGAGGGAAGUGGAAUUCCUGGUGUA
This 708-nucleotide ribosomal RNA is filed under the name uncultured bacterium. RNAcentral describes it as "bacterial SSU rRNA". It matches the Rfam family "Bacterial small subunit ribosomal RNA", at positions 1 to 677 of the family's 1533-position model. The record is from RNAcentral.